Apis dorsata (giant honeybee) is the source of this 261-nucleotide long non-coding RNA. RefSeq lists it as uncharacterized. The transcript is spliced from 4 exons. NCBI's taxonomy places the organism in Eukaryota, Metazoa, Arthropoda, Insecta, Hymenoptera, Apidae. The record is from RefSeq and is a predicted model, not a curated record.
GGGAAGGGUUGUCUUCUCCAACGAAAUUUAGCUAGAAAUGUAUUUAAAUUCGUGUGUUUUGUAAAAGUCCAAUUGUCGUUGAUUAAUUAUCUCGAAAAGAGGAAUUUAAUGAUUCAUUUUUGAUACAAUAACAUUUGAAUAAUAAUAAUAAUAAUAUGAUGCAUUUUUAGUAACGAAAUUCGUGAAAUUCGAAUCAGAGAAACGGAAUAAGUGUUUGCAUCUUGUUCCGAGAUUAAUAGUGAAAAGUUAUUAUACCAGAGG